Molecule: non-coding RNA, 111 nt
Filed under: Chloroflexota bacterium
Lineage: Bacteria; Bacillati; Chloroflexota
Description: Chloroflexi bacterium TPP sequence
Rfam family: TPP riboswitch aptamer (THI element)
About the family: Vitamin B(1) in its active form thiamin pyrophosphate (TPP) is an essential coenzyme that is synthesised by coupling of pyrimidine and thiazole moieties in bacteria.
Source: RNAcentral
ACCGCACGCUAGGGGUGCCUUCGAGGCUGAGAACGAGCCGGGAUUAGCGGUUCGUACCCUUGCGAACUUGAACCGGGUAAUGCCGGCGGAAGGAAGCGACGGUGUCUGGGG